UCGAGAAUCUUUCACAAUGGGGGCAACCCUGAUGGAGCGACGCCGCGUGGAGGAUAAGGUCUUCGGAUUGUAAACUCCUGUCAUGUGUGAACAAGGUUGUCGUGUUAAUAGCAUGGCAAAUUGAUGGUAACACAAGAGGAAGAGACGGCUAACUCUGUGCCAGCAGCCGCGGUAAUACAGAGGUCUCAAGCGUUGUUCGGAAUCACUGGGCGUAAAGGGUGCGUAGGUGGCGUGGUAAGUCAGAUGUGAAAGCCCGGGGCUCAACCUCGGAAUUGCAUCCGAUACUACCAUGCUAGAGUACUGAAGAGGUGACUAGAAUUCUCGGUGUAGCAGUGAAAUGCGUAGAUAUCGAGAGGAAUACCAACGGCGAAGGCAGGUCACUGGGCAGUUACUGACACUGAGGCACGAAGGCCAGGGGAGCAAACGGG
RNAcentral lists this ribosomal RNA (428 nucleotides) under uncultured bacterium. RNAcentral describes it as "bacterial SSU rRNA". It matches the Rfam family "Bacterial small subunit ribosomal RNA", at positions 355 to 776 of the family's 1533-position model. The record is from RNAcentral.